GAAUGGUUGGACGAGAAAUAGUCUGUCUUAAUUAAAGAUAUUGAAUUUAACUUUUAAGUGAAAAGGCUUAAAUAAUCUGAAGGGACGAUAAGACCCUAUAAAACUUUAUAUUUGAAGGUAGAGGAAAGUUUUAUUUAAGAGUUACUAUUUAAAAAUAUUUGGUUGGGGCGACAAGGAUAAAAUAUUAGAUAACUGUCUUUUUUUUUUACAAUGAUAUUUGGUUUAAUGAUCCUAAAAGGGAUUAAAGAUUAAGUUACUUUAGGGAUAACAGCGUAAUUUUCUUUGAGAGUUCUUAUCGACAGGAAAGUUUGCGACCUCGAUGUUGAAUUAAAGGUUCUUUAUAGGGUAGAGGCUAUAAUAGAAGGUCUGUUCGACCUUUAAAAUUUUACAUGAUU
Molecule: ribosomal RNA, 395 nt
Filed under: Creaserinus fodiens
Lineage: Eukaryota; Metazoa; Arthropoda; Malacostraca; Decapoda; Cambaridae
Description: partial large subunit ribosomal RNA
Rfam family: Bacterial large subunit ribosomal RNA
Source: RNAcentral